GUCGACACUGCCGAUACGCAGAUCUCAAAUCUAAGAUGUCAAUAGUGAAGCUCCUUGAGCUAAUGACAUAAGGUGAUGUGACGUCAAAGUAAGGUGACGACAAAAAGGAAAAAGAGCAGACGACAGCGUGUCAGAGAAAGGAGCACCAACAUGGCCGUGGCCAUUGCUCUAGUUGCGCACCUGCUGACGGUUCCUGCUUUUAUUUGAGUGCUGGACGGUUGUCAUCAGUCCACAACACCACACCACUCGGUUACAGUUGGACAAACAUUUUUCAGACUUUCGGAUCUCAAUCGACUUUCCCGUUAUAACAAAUCUCAUUCCGAUGUGGACUGUCGUAGUGAGUUGUGAUCACUGGUGUGAAUCCCAGCCAAGUAACAACACAAUAAGCGAGAGGAGGUCGACUUCACUCCCAGUAUAUGUAUUCCCCUUUUUGCUCCAUGGAUCUUCUCAACUACAUCUUGAUAACUCAUUCUUCCUGCGUUUCAGAAAUGACGAUUGCGUCAGUUGUUGUUGUCUCUCUCGACCACAGGAAAAGGAGUGUUGCAGUUACAUGUGAAGGUUUCCCGCUGGUAUAGUGAUGAUGCUUGCCGGCUUGUCAAAUAACGAGGCCGCUC
Molecule: long non-coding RNA, 614 nt
Organism: Pomacea canaliculata
Lineage: Eukaryota; Metazoa; Mollusca; Gastropoda; Architaenioglossa; Ampullariidae
Exons: 4
Source: RefSeq, a predicted model, not a curated record